Molecule: ribosomal RNA, 498 nt
Filed under: uncultured bacterium
Lineage: Bacteria
Description: partial 16S ribosomal RNA
Rfam family: Bacterial small subunit ribosomal RNA
Source: RNAcentral
GACGAACGCUGGCGGCGUGCCUAAUACAUGCAAGUCGAGCGGACGGAUGGGAGCUUGCUCCCAGACCGUCAGCGGCGGACGGGUGAGUAACACGUGGGCAACCUGCCUGUAAGACUGGGAUAACUCCGGGAAACCGGGGCUAAUACCGGAUAACUCUUUCCCUCCCAUGAGGGAAAGCUGAAAGAUGGCAUCUCGCUAUCACUUACAGAUGGGCCCGCGGCGCAUUAGCUAGUUGGUGAGGUAACGGCUCACCAAGGCGACGAUGCGUAGCCGACCUGAGAGGGUGAUCGGCCACACUGGGACUGAGACACGGCCCAGACUCCUACGGGAGGCAGCAGUAGGGAAUCUUCCGCAAUGGACGAAAGUCUGACGGAGCAACGCCGCGUGAGUGAUGAAGGUGUUCGGAUCGUAAAACUCUGUUGUCAGGGAAGAACAAGUACCGGAGUAACUGCCGGUACCUUGACGGUACCUGACCAGAAAGCCACGGCUAACUACGUG